AAUCAACGCUGGCGGCGUGCCUCAGACAUGCAAGUCGAACGAUUAAAGCUCUCUUCGGAGAGUGUAUAGAGUGGCGCACGGGUGAGUAACACGUAAGUAAUCUACCUUUGAGUGGGGAAUAACCCGGGAAACCCGAGCUAAUACCGCAUAAUAGCAGCGGCACCGCCAAGGUGACAGUUGUUAAAGGAGCAAUCCGCUUAAAGAGGAGCUUGCGGCAGAUUAGCUAG
RNAcentral lists this ribosomal RNA (227 nucleotides) under uncultured bacterium. RNAcentral describes it as "partial 16S ribosomal RNA". It matches the Rfam family "Bacterial small subunit ribosomal RNA", at positions 32 to 248 of the family's 1533-position model. The record is from RNAcentral.